GAUGAACGCUGGCGGCGUGCUUAACACAUGCAAGUUGAACGAAGUGGCGGAUGGGCGAGUAACACGUGAGGAACCUGCCUUUCACAGGGGAAUAACACUGGGAAACCAGUGCUAAUACCGCAUAGUGAAAGAUGGCCUCGCGCCUGCUUAGCUAGUAGGUGAGGUAACGGCUCACCUAGGUGAUGAUCAGUAGCCGGACUGAAGGUUGAUCGGCAGCAUUGGGACUGAGACACGGCCCAGACGCCUACGGGAGGCAGCAGUGGGGAAUAUUGGGCAAUGGCGCAAGCCUGACCCAGCAACGCCGCGUGGGGGAUGAAGGCUUUCGGGUUGUAAACCUCUUUCCAUCGAACAUGGUAUCUAACCAGAAAGCCACGGCUAACUACGUGCCAGCAGCCGCGGUAAUUC
Molecule: ribosomal RNA, 405 nt
Filed under: uncultured bacterium
Lineage: Bacteria
Description: partial 16S ribosomal RNA
Rfam family: Bacterial small subunit ribosomal RNA
Source: RNAcentral